RNAcentral lists this ribosomal RNA (482 nucleotides) under uncultured bacterium. RNAcentral describes it as "partial 16S ribosomal RNA". It matches the Rfam family "Bacterial small subunit ribosomal RNA", at positions 30 to 507 of the family's 1533-position model. The record is from RNAcentral.
AUUGAACGCUGGCGGCAUGCUUUACACAUGCAAGUCGAACGGUAACAGGCCGCAAGGUCCUGACUAGUGGCGGACGGGUGAGUGAUGCAUCGGAACGUGCCCAGUCGUUGGGGAUAACUACUCGAAAGAGUAACUAAUACCUCAUACGAUCUAUGAAUUAAAGCGGGGGACCUUAAGGCCUCGCGCGAUUGGAGCGGUCGAUGUCAGAUUAGUUAGUUGGUGAGGUAAAGGCUCACCAAGCCAACGAUUUGUAGCUGGUCUGAGAGGACAACCAGCCACACUGGGACUGAGACACGGCCCAGACUCCUACGGGAGGCAGCAGUGGGGAAUUUUGGACAAUGGGCGAAAGCCUGAUCCAGCAAUGCCGCGUGAAGGAAGAAGGCCUUCGGGUUGUAAACUGCUUUUGUAAGGAACGAAACGGCUCUGGUUAAUACCCGGGGCUAAUGACGGUACCGUAAGAAUAAGCACCGGCUAACUACGUG